CCUACGGGAGACAGCAGUGGGGAAUAUUGCGCAAUGGGCGCAAGCCUGACGCAGUGACGCCGCGUGAGGGAUGAAGGUCUUCGGAUUGUAAACCUCUGUCAGCAGGGAAGAACGGUCACUGUGCUAAUCAGUAGUGAAUUGACGGUACCUGCAAAGGAAGCACCGGCUAACUCCGUGCCAGCAGCCGCGGUAAUACGGAGGGUGCGAGCGUUAAUCGGAAUUACUGGGCGUAAAGCGCUCGUAGGCGGUAUGUCAAGUCAAUGGUGAAAGCCCCGGGCUCAACGUGGGAACUGCCUUUGAAACUGGCAAACUGGAGUGUGGGAGAGGAUAGUAGAAUUCCAGGUGUAGGAGUGAAAUGCGUAGAGAUCUGGAGGAACAUCAGUGGCGAAGGCGACUAUCUGGCACAUAACUGACGCUGAGGAGCGAAAGCGUGGGUAGCAAACAGGAUUAGAUACCCGUGUAGUC
This 465-nucleotide ribosomal RNA is filed under the name uncultured bacterium. Its description in RNAcentral is "partial 16S ribosomal RNA". It matches the Rfam family "Bacterial small subunit ribosomal RNA", at positions 338 to 795 of the family's 1533-position model. The record is from RNAcentral.